RNAcentral lists this ribosomal RNA (2113 nucleotides) under Philorheithrus sp. PL5. RNAcentral describes it as "partial large subunit ribosomal RNA". It matches the Rfam family "Eukaryotic large subunit ribosomal RNA", at positions 71 to 1808 of the family's 3401-position model. Lineage: Eukaryota; Metazoa; Arthropoda; Insecta; Trichoptera; Philorheithridae. The record is from RNAcentral.
AGGAUUCCCCGAGUAGCGGCGAGCGAAACGGGAAGAGCCCAGCGCUGAAUCCUGCCGCCAGAGCGGGCGGCCGGGAAAUGUAGCGUUCGGUAGGAGAGUUAAAAUUAAACGCGCGGUCAUUAGUCACGGCCGCCAGUCCAAGUUCAUCUUGAACGGGGCCCACUUACCCGCAGAGGGUGCCAGGCCCGUGGUGACGGUGGCCGGCCGCGACGGUCUCCCUACCCAGAGUCGGGUUGCUUGAGAGUGCAGCCCUAAGCGGGUGGUAAACUCCAUCUAAGGCUAAAUACUACCACGAGACCGAUAGCGAACAAGUACCGUAAGGGAAAGUUGNNNNNNNNNNNNNNNNNNNNNNNNNNNNNNNNNNNNNNNNNNNNNNNNNNNNNNNNNNNNNNNNNNNNNNNNNNNNNNNNNNNNNNNNNNNNNNNNNNNNGUGCACUUCUCCCUCAGUAUGACACCGCGACCCGUCGCGCUGCCGUCGAACGCGCCGUGCGGUUGACCCGCCUCUCUACGAGGGGCGGAGCCGCGGCGUACGCGGCGGCAGUCUGAUACACGUAUAUCAUAAAGAGCGACGGUAGAGAACGAGGAUCGAGUCCGCCCCCCUCCGGGGGGGCGUCCGUCGCCGCCCGGCGGCGUCCCGUUGGCGGCCCCCGGCGUCUUGAGCGUCGCGGGUCAGUCGCCCUCGGGGCGUCCGCGUCGGGGCGAGCGCUCUCGGACGGGACUCGUACCGGUCUGCGGUGGUUUUGUUUCGGGCACUCACAGGACCCGUCUUGAAACACGGACCAAGGAGUCUAGCAUGUGCGCGAGUCAUUGGGACUCUUUUGACUAAACCCAGAGGCGCAAUGAAAGUGAAAGGGCGCGCCUCGCGCGCGCCCACCAGGGAAGAUGCGCGGGCGCCCUCGAGCGCCCCGCCGCAUUCCCGAGGCGUUUCGAGAAAGCCACCGCGCGACUAUCGAGACGCACUGAGAGCGUACACGCUGGGACCCGAAAGAUGGUGAACUAUGCCUGGUCAGGUCGAAGUCAGGGGAAACCCUGAUGGAGGACCGAAGCGAUUCUGACGUGCAAAUCGAUCGUCGGAACUGGGUAUAGGGGCGAAAGACUAAUCGAACUAUCUAAUAGCUGGUUCCAUCCGAAGUUUCCCUCAGGAUAGCUGGCGCUCGGGAAACAUGCGCCCCGAGAGACGGGCGCAUUCGAACAGUCUCAUCCGGUAAAGCGAAUGAUUAGAGGCAUUGGGGCCGAAAUGGCCUCAACCUAUUCUCAAACUUUAAAUGGGUGAGAUCUCCGUCUUGCUCGAAGAUGAAGUCGGAGCUCGGAUGGGAGUGCCAAGUGGGCCAAUUUUGGUAAGCAGAACUGGCGCUGUGGGAUGAACCAAACGUCGAGUUAAGGCGCCCAAUGAACGCUCAUCGGAGACCAUAAAAGGCGUUGGUCGCUCAGGACAGCAGGACGGUGGCCAUGGAAGUCGGAAUCCGCUAAGGAGUGUGUAACAACUCACCUGCCGAAGCAACCAGCCCUGAAAAUGGAUGGCGCUGUAGCGUUCAGCCUAUACUCGACCGUCGCAGGCAAGGGGGGCGGCUCAACCCCCCUCACGGGGGGCGGCCGCCUUGAGGCCGCGACGAGUAGGAUGGCCGCGGCGGUGAGCGCAGAAGGGUCUGGGCGCGAGCCCGCCUGGAGCCUCCGUCGGCGCAGAUCUUGGUGGUAGUAGCAAAUACUCAAGCGAGGUCCUUGAGGGCUGAUGUGGAGAAGGGUUUCGCGUUAACAGCCGUUGCACGCGAGUUAGUCGAUCCUAAGCCCUAGGAGAGAUCCGAUGUCGAUGAUGGUGUAAAGUUUAUUAUAAUUUAUAUAUAAUCUGUAAAGUACACCCGUCGGGCGAAAGGGAAUCCGGUUGCAGUUCCGGAACCCGGCUGCGGAACCGUCUUAAUAAAUCGUUCCCUCCACAACGGAGUGUUCGUCGGGGUGACCCAAAGUGGCCUGAAGACGCCGACGGGAGGUCCGGAGAGAGUUAUCUUUUCUGCCUGAGCGUUCGAGCGCCCUGGAAUCCUAUAGCGGGGAGAUAGGGCUCGGGACGCGAAGAGCAUCGNNGAUGCGGCGGUGUCCGGAUCGGCCCCUCGGACCUUGA